GCAGAAGAUAAAACAGGUGUGAAAGAUGAAUUUACGAACACAAACAACAGCAAGUGCGAUUGCAAGGCAGCGGAGAAAUUGAAUUCGACGAAGUGUAUAAACCGAUUAACGGAAAGAAGUUAAGAUUGCUGAAAAACUACUUGCUGGACGAAAGCACGUCAACGUUGAUGUUCAAGAAAAACCAGCUGGUUACUGUAAGGGAUUCUGAACGAGGAUUGUACGCACAUUGAAAAUCAUUAAAGUAGAAUUACAACGACAUCUUCGAGAAAAACCAUUUACCAGUGGAUGAAUCGUAUCAUGAAUUUCACAGACAUGCUGUUUAUAAAGAGACAUUACAUUGAAAGCCAGCGAAACGCAACACACCAGAUAUUGAAGAACAUCGUCCUGACUACGGAUUAUACACAGUAGCUUCUUAUACAAAUUAUUUAAACAGAACAGUUAUUGCAGAUUUAUCUCAAUGUACCAUCUUCGACAGUGAAAAGCCAUGGCAUCGAGAAUGAGAAAAAGCUAUCGUCAAAUAUACAGUCGAAAAGAAAAAUAUGAACAAAUGGUUGAUCAUUGUAGCCGUUCUAGGUGUCAUAGAGACCACAAUGGAUGUCGUAAAAUAUUUAUGGCAUUCCUGAAAAUAACGAAAUGCACGUGCUGCAUAAGAAAGUAUACUCGAGUUGCCUCCAUGAUCUUUGUCUUCCUCGAGAACACAUCCAUGGCGCUAAUAACUAUAAAUGUUUUUUGUAUUAUUUAGACAAUAAAUAGUCUAAAAGCUCACUCACACUCACUGAAUGAGACUUCAAAAUCACAAAUUAUUUGAAAAUGACAUAUUCACUACACUGAAUUGCACUGAGUGCACGAGCGUGAGUGAACUUUUAAAAUAUCAGUGUUAGUUUUACAAUCAUGUUAUUUGAUUUUCUGUAUUAACUGAAAGUUUUUCCAUGGU
Xenia sp. Carnegie-2017 is the source of this 934-nucleotide long non-coding RNA. RefSeq lists it as uncharacterized. The record is from RefSeq and is a predicted model, not a curated record. NCBI's taxonomy places the organism in Eukaryota, Metazoa, Cnidaria, Anthozoa, Malacalcyonacea, Xeniidae. The transcript is spliced from 2 exons.